AGCGAACGCUGGCGGCGUGCCUAACACAUGCAAGUCGAACGUGAAAGGGAGCAAUCCCAAGUAAAGUGGCGUACGGGUGAGUAACACGUAGGUAAUCUACCCCAGAAUCUGGAAUAACCGGCCGAAAGGCUGGCUAAUACUGGAUAGAGCGACGGAAUCCGUAAUUGGGUUUUUCGGGAAAGGGAGCCUGUAAAAAGGCCUUCGUUCUGGGAUGAGCCUGCGUCCCAUCAGCUAGUUGGUGAGGUAAAAGCUUACCAAGGCAAUGACGGGUAGCUGGUCUGAGAGGACGAUCAGCCACACUGGAACUGAAACACGGUCCAGACUCCUACGGGAGGCAGCAGUGGGGAAUCUUGCGCAAUGGACGAAAGUCUGACGCAGCAACGCCGCGUGAGUGCAGAAGGCCUUCGGGUUGUAAAGCUCUGUCGAGUGGGACGAAAAUGCUUGGAGUUCACAGCUCCAGGAACUGACGGUACCACUAAAGGAAGCACCGGCUAACUCCGUG
Molecule: ribosomal RNA, 502 nt
Filed under: uncultured bacterium
Lineage: Bacteria
Description: partial 16S ribosomal RNA
Rfam family: Bacterial small subunit ribosomal RNA
Source: RNAcentral